ACAUAUAAAGAACUCUUAACAAGAAGUAUAAAAAUCUCCUCGGUGCCAACCAGACGAGGCUCAUACAGAAGGAGGGGCCACAGCCACGGCUGGGGCAUAGGGACAUAGUCUGCCCCAGGGCUGUACUACUGCCCUAGGGCUGUGAACCUGCUUGUGGCUGUGCAUCUCUACGACCUGAGAAGCGCUGGAGCCAAGGAUUACUGCUCCAGCGUGAGCCUUAGCUUGAUGUUCAUGGCUGCCAGCUCUGCCAAGAAGUACCGGAAGACGUGGGGCACUGGGAUGACCUGGAUGGUGUCCAUCCUGCCACAGAGCAUGCAGGAAUACCUCCUGUUGCUUGCCACGGAGGAAGGCGGUGGGCGCUGGAGCAGAGGAGAUAACAUGCUGCCGCAGCUUGUGCAAACAUAGGCUUCAGAGCCAUCAGAGCAGCUGAACAGGCGGUCGUGCAGCAGGAAGGAGGUGCCAUGAGCCAACAACGCAUCACGCUCCAUCUCGCCAAAGCGAAUCCCCCCUUCCACAUUCCUCCCCUUGACAGGCUGGUUAGUGACAGAAUCCCGGGGUCCUGUUGUCCUCACCUGGAACUUGUCGGAGACCAUGUGGCGCAGGCGCUGGUAGUACACGACUCCCACAAAGAUGUCUGCCUCCAGCUCCACGCCACUGAUUCCACUGUACAUCUUUUCGGUCCCAAAGAAGUUAUAGCCCGCGCUCACCAGAGUCUCACCAAAGUACUUCAAGGCAGAGUUUUUCUCUGUGAAGGUGAAGGGAGUGGCAUCGUAGUAGGCGCCGUGCAGUGCUGCUGACUUCCCCGCCAUGCUCUCAAUUAACAUCCCGAUGGUCAUACGGGAGGGGAACCCAUGGGGGUUGAAGAGGAUGUCUGGAACCAUCCCAUUCUCCGUGAACGGCAUGUCUUCAACAGGCCAGAGCUGGCUCAGGAUGCCCUUCUGCCCAUGGCGGCUGGCAAAUUUGUCUCCAACAGUUGGGUUUCGAGGAACUCUCACGGUGAUGCAAGCCUUCUUGAAUUUCCCAGUGCCACGGUCAUUACUGCACAGCUUGAUGUUGUCUACAAUGCCAACUUCUUUAUUCCUGUGUAGGCAGAAAAACAUUCACAGCAAAGGUAUCAGAUAUGCUCAUGACUUUGAAAUGAAGCAAAGAAACCAACCCACUUUUAAGUCCAAUAAAGAGCUCCACAUUUUUUGAAGAAUAUCGUUCAGGGAAAUCAGACUGCAUAAGAAUUAGAGCACAGCAGCCAAACAAAGGUAGCAAACAAAGGUAUGCCAUUUGUUUGCUGUUUCUAAUGCUAGCAGCACAACUGCAACUUCCCUAUGAUGAGGUAAUGUGUCGUCCAUAUAAUAAAGUCAAAAUUAUUUAAA
Non-coding RNA from Meleagris gallopavo (turkey), 1367 nucleotides. NCBI's taxonomy places the organism in Eukaryota, Metazoa, Chordata, Aves, Galliformes, Phasianidae. The record is from RefSeq and is a predicted model, not a curated record.